This 327-nucleotide ribosomal RNA is filed under the name uncultured eukaryote. RNAcentral's name for it is "partial 18S ribosomal RNA". It matches the Rfam family "Eukaryotic small subunit ribosomal RNA", at positions 1470 to 1796 of the family's 1831-position model. The record is from RNAcentral.
CCCUUAGAUGUUCUGGGCCGCACGCGCGCUACACUGACGAAUGCAACGAGCUUAUAACCUUGGCCGAAAGGUCUGGGUAAUCUCCAAAUUUCGUCGUGAUGGGGAUAGAUUAUUGCAAUUAUUAAUCUUUAACGAGGAAUGCCUAGUAAGCGCAAGUCAUCAGCUUGCGUUGAUUACGUCCCUGCCCUUUGUACACACCGCCCGUCGCUCCUACCGAUUGAAUGGUCCGGUGAAGCGCUCGGACCGCGGCCUCUUGACGGUUUUCCGUCGAUUGGCUGUGGGAAGUUCGUUAAACCUUAUCAUUUAGAGGAAGGAGAANUCGUANCA